AUGCUAAAAUAAAGGUGUAUGCAGGGAAUAUAAAAGAUCUGUAAGUAAAAAUUCUUGGCACUGUGGCUAGAGAAGACCUCAAAGGGUAGAGAUCAACUCGAGGAGAAUGGAGAUCUGAUCUGGUCAUGCCCUGGGUUACUAAGACAGGGAAAUGAGCUAAUCGUGAAGAAGAGCUAUUUUUAGUUGAUUGAAUUAUGUCUCAUUUACUGACCAAGCUUAGCACAUACUGAUGAAAGGCAGGGAGAGAUGUGUGUUAGAAAAACAGCUACAUUAUUCUGUUUCAAAUAAUUAUAUAUCUCAAUCUGUAAUUCACAAACAACUGCAUACUGUGGCUUCACUCCUUUUACAUGGUACAUUUUCCUUUUUAGAUCCAAAGGGGCUAUUCUGAACAUUUCGUCUGGCAGUGGCAUGCUCCCUGUCCCACUGUUGACCAUCUAUUCUGCAACCAAGACUUUUGUAGAUUUCUUCUCUCGGUGCCUCCAUGAGGAGUAUAGGAGCAAGGGCGUCUUUGUGCAGAGUGUCCUGCCAUACUUUGUAGCUACAAAACUGGCUAAAAUCCGGAAGCCAACUUUGGAUAAGCCCU
This 583-nucleotide small RNA is filed under the name Pongo abelii (Sumatran orangutan). RNAcentral describes it as "retained intron". Lineage: Eukaryota; Metazoa; Chordata; Mammalia; Primates; Hominidae. The record is from RNAcentral.